GGAAAUUUACUUUCUUAAGCUUGUAUCCUUCAGGCAGGAGUGUAGGCAAUGGGAAGAAAAUUUUGUCAGUGGCUCCUCAUGGUCCCCUGUUCAGCAGACAUUUCUAACCUUCCUCAAGGCCACCAACCCUUGUGAAAGAAGCACAGAUAUAAUUUCCCAGCUGCCAAGCCAUUCUCCAAUAGACAGAUAAAGUUGUUGAAACCCCACUUACGGUGAAUCUCCACAGCCCCCCAAGGUCAUCGCUCCUCUCAAAGCAGGUGAAUUCUCUUCUCAAAGCUGGAUAUGCAUCUUUUUUUGUUUUGGAUUAGGAACCUGAGAGAAGCAGCUCAACUGUAGAGACUAAAAUAUUCAAUAUUUUAGUCUUAACUGUAGAGACUAAAAUGCUCAAUUUUUUUUAAUGAAAUAAAA
RNAcentral lists this long non-coding RNA (408 nucleotides) under Homo sapiens (human). RNAcentral's name for it is "HSALNT0017438". Lineage: Eukaryota; Metazoa; Chordata; Mammalia; Primates; Hominidae. The record is from RNAcentral.